This 253-nucleotide ribosomal RNA is filed under the name uncultured bacterium. RNAcentral describes it as "partial 16S ribosomal RNA". It matches the Rfam family "Archaeal small subunit ribosomal RNA", at positions 474 to 727 of the family's 1478-position model. The record is from RNAcentral.
UACCAGCACCCCGAGUGGUCGGGACGAUUAUUGGGCCUAAAGCAUCCGUAGCCGGUCAUGCAAGUCUUCCGUUAAAUCCAGCCGCUCAACUGUUGGGCUGCGGAGGAUACUACGUGGCUAGGAGGCGGGAGAGGCAAGCGGUACUCAGUGGGUAGGGGUAAAAUGCUUUGAUCCAUUGAAGACCACCAGUGGCGAAGGCGGCUUGCCAGAACGCGCUCGACGGUGAGGGAUGAAAGCUGGGGGAGCAAACCGG